This 490-nucleotide ribosomal RNA is filed under the name uncultured bacterium. Its description in RNAcentral is "partial 16S ribosomal RNA". It matches the Rfam family "Bacterial small subunit ribosomal RNA", at positions 30 to 507 of the family's 1533-position model. The record is from RNAcentral.
AUUGAACGCUGGCGGCAGGCUUAACACAUGCAAGUCGAGCGGUAGCACGGGGGAGCUUGCUCCCUGGCUGACGAGCCGCGGACGGGUGAGUAAUGUCUGGGAAACUGCCUGAUGGCGGGGGUUAACUACUGGAAACGGUAGCUAAUACCGCAUAUCUUCGCAAGCCCAAAGAGCGGUAGCUUCGGGCCUCUUGCCUUUAGAUUUUCCCAGAUGGGAUUAGCUAGUAGGUGGGGUAAUGGCUCACCUAGGCGACGAUCCCUAGCUGGUCUGAGAGGAUGACCAGCCACACUGGAACUGAGACACGGUCCAGACUCCUACGGGAGGCAGCAGUGGGGAAUAUUGCACAAUGGGCGAAAGCCUGACGCAGCCAUGCCGCGUGAGUGAAGAAGGCCUUCGGGUUGUAAAGCACUUUCAGCGAGGAGGAAGGUGGUUGGCUUAAUACGUUCAUCAAUUGACGUUACUCGCAGAAGAAGCACCGGCUAACUCCGUG